CUCUGGACCUCAGAAGGGCUGUGUCCACCAUGGCUCCUGUCCUCCUGCUGCUCCUCUCUCACUUCCCAGAAUGUUUCUGAAGUCUCAGGAAUGCUGAAAACAAAAACAAAAACCUCGUGAUACCACUGCGGUGUUGCCCAGUUAUCUAGAUGAGCAAAACUCAGAGCCUGUGGAGCUGACUUUUUUAUUAUUAUUAUUUUUUGGAAGAAGAGAAAUGAGCCUUUCCUAGUUUUCUUUUUGGCCAGAGGCCAGAGACCAUUCAAGCAGGUAGACAGUCGCUACAGCAUGGACUACUGUCUUUGAGGGAUCAGAGCAGAAACCUCCUUUUCCCUCUCCAGUCACCUCCCUCCAACCCCGAUCAUCUGUGCUUGGGGCUGCCUGGGGCUCCCCGUGACCCAGGGAUGAGGCACUAAGGUGUGAAAUGAGUGAGGACACAGGUCCCAGAGGAGUUCCAGCGAAGAUGUGGCCAGAGUCACUCACAGGACAGGGAGGAUGGACCUUCAGAGAUUUGAGCCUCAUUAUCCAGAUGCAGGUUUGUCAAUAGAAACCCUCUGUCCACCUCUGGACUCCAGCAUUAUGGGUAAGGCUGAUUGUCUCUGUCAUAUAGCUGAACACAGCCUCAUAAACAGAAAGAGCUCCUGAUCCAUGGAAAAAUGGAUAAAAAUGUUGUCCCUCUCAUCUUACCAGAA
This is a long non-coding RNA of Gorilla gorilla gorilla (western lowland gorilla), 689 nucleotides long. RefSeq lists it as uncharacterized. Lineage: Eukaryota; Metazoa; Chordata; Mammalia; Primates; Hominidae. The transcript is spliced from 3 exons. The record is from RefSeq and is a predicted model, not a curated record.